AAAGGAUCUUGUUAUGGGAAAGAAUGGUAGGAGACCACUAUUGCAGUUACUUCAUCCAAAUUCUUCACGUUAUUUCAGUCGUGAUGAUUUGGCCUCUCUUGAUCUGUCUGUUCCAUCACUGUGCUUAAUGGAUAAGUCUGAGACAAAGGACUCAGAUGGCAAAGAAUCUGCUGAGGAGGAGAAAGACGAGCAAGAAGAUAUUGUAACUGAACAGAGCGG
Brassica oleracea var. oleracea is the source of this 219-nucleotide long non-coding RNA. RefSeq lists it as uncharacterized. Lineage: Eukaryota; Viridiplantae; Streptophyta; Magnoliopsida; Brassicales; Brassicaceae. The record is from RefSeq and is a predicted model, not a curated record. The transcript is spliced from 3 exons.